CCUACGGGUGGCUGCAGUCGAGAAUCUUCCGCAAUGGGCGAAAGCCUGACGGAGCGACGCCGCGUGCAGGACGAAGUGCUUCGGUAUGUAAACUGCUUUUAUGAGAUAGAAAGUUUAUUGAUCAUCUCAUGAAUAAGGGGUUGCUAAACUCGUGCCAGCAGCAGCGGUAAUACGAGUGCCCCGAGCGUUAUCCGGAAUUAUUGGGCGUAAAGGGUGUGUAGGCGGCUUUGUUAGUCUUUUGUUAAAACCUCCGGCUUAACCGGAGAUCAGCAAAAGAGACGGCAAAACUUGAGGGUGCGAGAGGUCUGUGGAACUCAUGGUGUAGGGGUGAAAUCCGUUGAUAUCAUGGGGAACACCUAAAGCGAAGGCAACAGACUGGUGCAUUCCUGACGCUGAGACACGAAAGCGUGGGUAGCGAAUGGGAUUAGAUACCCCAGUAGUCC
This 443-nucleotide ribosomal RNA is filed under the name uncultured Parcubacteria group bacterium. RNAcentral describes it as "bacterial SSU rRNA". It matches the Rfam family "Bacterial small subunit ribosomal RNA", at positions 338 to 796 of the family's 1533-position model. The record is from RNAcentral.